Molecule: ribosomal RNA, 427 nt
Filed under: uncultured bacterium
Lineage: Bacteria
Description: partial 16S ribosomal RNA
Rfam family: Bacterial small subunit ribosomal RNA
Source: RNAcentral
UGGGGAAUAUUGCACAAUGGGCGCAAGCCUGAUGCAGCCAUGCCGCGUGUAUGAAGAAGGCCUUCGGGUUGUAAAGUACUUUCAGCGGGGAGGAAGGUGUUGUGGUUAAUAACCACAGCAAUUGACGUUACCCGCAGAAGAAGCACCGGCUAACUCCGUGCCAGCAGCCGCGGUAAUACGGAGGGUGCAAGCGUUAAUCGGAAUUACUGGGCGUAAAGCGCACGCAGGCGGUCUGUCAAGUCGGAUGUGAAAUCCCCGGGCUCAACCUGGGAACUGCAUCCGAAACUGGCAGGCCUGAGUCUUGUAGAGGGGGGUAGAAUUCCAGGUGUAGCGGUGAAAUGCGUAGAGAUCUGGAGGAAUACCGGUGGCGAAGGCGGCCCCCUGGACAAAGACUGACGCUCAGGUGCGAAAGCGUGGGGAGCAAACA